GCCCCCAAUUUCUAAGGUUGACCUCGGAUCAGGUAGGAAUACCCGCUGAACUUAAGCAUAUCAAUAAGCGGAGGAAAAGAAACCAACAGGGAUUGCCCUAGUAACGGCGAGUGAAGCGGCAACAGCUCAAAUUUGAAAUCUGCCUUCGGGCCGAGUUGUAAUUUGUAGAGGAAGCUUUUGGUGAGGCACCUUCUGAGUCCCCUGGAACGGGGCGCCAUAGAGGGUGAGAGCCCCGUAUAGUCGGAUGCCGAUCCAAUGUAAAGCUCCUUCGACGAGUCGAGUAGUUUGGGAAUGCUGCUCAAAAUGGGAGGUAAAUUUCUUCUAAAGCUAAAUACCGGCCAGAGACCGAUAGCGCACAAGUAGAGUGAUCGAAAGAUGAAAAGCACCUUGAAAAGGGGGUUAAAUAGCACGUGAAAUUGUUGAAAGGGAAGCGUUUGCGGCCAGACUUGCGCCGCCCCGAUCAUCCGGUGUUCUCACCGGUGCACUCGGGGCGGCGCAGGCCAGCAUCGGUUUCGGCGGGGGGAUAAAGGCCCGGGGAACGUAGCUCUUUCGGGAGUGUUAUAGCCCCGGGCGUAAUGCCCUCGCCGGGACCGAGGUUCGCGCAUCUGCAAGGAUGCUGGCGUAAUGGCCGCCAACGACCCGUCUUGAAACACGGACCAAGGAGUCAAGGUUUUGCGCGAGUGUUUGGGUGUAAAACCCGCACGCGUAAUGAAAGUGAACGUAGGUGAGAGCUUCGGCGCAUCAUCGACCGAUCCUGAUGUAUUCGGAUGGAUUUGAGUAAGAGCGUUAAGCCUUGGACCCGAAAGAUGGUGAACUAUGCUUGGAUAGGGUGAAGCCAGAGGAAACUCUGGUGGAGGCUCGCAGCGGUUCUGACGUGCAAAUCGAUCGUCAAAUCUGAGCAUGGGGGCGAAAGACUAAUCGAACCAUCUAGUAGCUGGUUACCGCCGAAGUU
This is a ribosomal RNA of 952 nucleotides. It matches the Rfam family "Eukaryotic large subunit ribosomal RNA", at positions 1 to 968 of the family's 3401-position model.